This 240-nucleotide ribosomal RNA is filed under the name uncultured bacterium. RNAcentral's name for it is "partial 16S ribosomal RNA". It matches the Rfam family "Bacterial small subunit ribosomal RNA", at positions 94 to 334 of the family's 1533-position model. The record is from RNAcentral.
AGCGGCGGACGGGUGAGUAACGCGUGGGUAACCUGCCUCAUACAGGGGGAUAACAGUUGGAAACGGCUGCUAAUACCGCAUAAGCGCACAGUACCGCAUGGUACCGUGUGAAAAACUCCGGUGGUAUGAGAUGGACCCGCGUCUGAUUAGGUAGUUGGUGGGGUAACGGCCUACCGAGCCGACGAUCAGUAGCCGACCUGAGAGGGUGACCGGCCACAUUGGGACUGAGACAUGGCCCAA